AGCUCAGGGGUAGAGCACCUGGUUGUGAUCCAGGACGUCGCGGGUUCAAAUCCCGUC
RNAcentral lists this transfer RNA (57 nucleotides) under Phycisphaerales bacterium. Its description in RNAcentral is "tRNA-His". It matches the Rfam family "tRNA", at positions 9 to 63 of the family's 71-position model. From Rfam's summary of the family: Transfer RNA (tRNA) molecules are approximately 80 nucleotides in length. Their secondary structure includes four short double-helical elements and three loops (D, anti-codon, and T loops). Further hydrogen bonds mediate the characteristic L-shaped molecular structure. tRNAs have two regions of fundamental functional importance: the anti-codon, which is responsible for specific mRNA codon recognition, and the 3' end, to which the tRNAs corresponding amino acid is attached (by aminoacyl-tRNA synthetases). tRNAs cope with the degeneracy of the genetic code in two manners: having more than one tRNA (with a specific anti-codon) for a particular amino acid; and 'wobble' base-pairing, i.e. permitting non-standard base-pairing at the 3rd anti-codon position. Lineage: Bacteria; Pseudomonadati; Planctomycetota; Phycisphaerae; Phycisphaerales. The record is from RNAcentral.